UUUGGGCCCUUUGUCAGAGCAGAAA
This 25-nucleotide non-coding RNA is filed under the name Rattus norvegicus (Norway rat). Lineage: Eukaryota; Metazoa; Chordata; Mammalia; Rodentia; Muridae. The record is from RNAcentral.